Molecule: ribosomal RNA, 419 nt
Filed under: uncultured bacterium
Lineage: Bacteria
Description: bacterial SSU rRNA
Rfam family: Bacterial small subunit ribosomal RNA
Source: RNAcentral
GGAAUUUUGCGCAAUGGGCGAAAGCCUGACGCAGCAACGCCGCGUGUGUGACGAAGGCCCUAGGGUUGUAAAGCACUGUGGGAAGGGAAGAAAAAACGGGGGUUGUACCCCGUCUUGACGGUACCUUGUUAGAAAGCACCGGCUAACUCCGUGCCAGCAGCCGCGGUAAUACGGAGGGUGCAAGCGUUGUUCGGAAUUAUUGGGCGUAAAGGGCGUGUAGGUGGCACUCCAAGUCUGAUGUGAAAGCCCACGGCUCAACCGUGGAACUGCAUUGGAAACUGGGGAGCUCGAGUGUUGGAGGGGGUCGCGGAAUUCCCGGUGUAGAGGUGAAAUUCGUAGAUAUCGGGAGGAACACCAGUGGCGAAGGCGGCGACCUGGCCAAUCACUGACACUGAUGCGCGAAAGCGUGGGGAGCAAAC